UGGGGAAUCUUGCACAAUGGGGGAAACCCUGAUGCAGCGACGCCGCGUGAGCGAUGAAGGUUUUCGAAUCGUAAAGCUCUGUCCUAUGGGAAGAUAAUGACGGUACCAUAGGAGGAAGCCCCGGCUAACUACGUGCCAGCAGCCGCGGUAAUACGUAGGGGGCGAGCGUUGUCCGGAAUUACUGGGCAUAAAGGGUUCGCAGGCGGCAUGACAAGUCCGAUGUAAAAGGCGAAAGCUCAACUUUCGUAAGCAUCGGAAACUGUCAAGCUUGAGUGAAGGAGAGGCAAGUGGAAUUCCUAGUGUAGCGGUGGAAUGCGUAGAUAUUAGGAGGAAUACCGGUGGCGAAGGCGACUUGCUGGACUUCAACUGACGCUGAGGAACGAAAGCGUGGGUAGCAAACAGG
RNAcentral lists this ribosomal RNA (403 nucleotides) under bacterium. Its description in RNAcentral is "partial 16S ribosomal RNA". It matches the Rfam family "Bacterial small subunit ribosomal RNA", at positions 355 to 776 of the family's 1533-position model. The record is from RNAcentral.